AAAAAACCCAGAGACUCGCUAAACUUGGCUAAAUCUAAACCUCCAAGAUAUGCACUCACCCACAAUGUUUUUAGAAGAAUUCAGGACCGGAAACCUCAUGAACCGGAGGCUCAUCGCGAACCGAAGUUCUGCUAGACCAGCUUUGACAGGAUUAUUCUAUCUCUUCUUAGAGUCCUUUUUGGGAGGUGAUGGAGAAAAGGCUUUUCUUGUUUUUGGUAUCAUUUUUUGGUUUAUGACGUGGGCCCUUUAAAGGUUCAGGUGUGGAGCUGUGUCAUCUGGGUGCCAUCCCCCAAUGGCAACCUAUUCUUCUGGUGCCUCAAUGGAUCCAGUUGGAUGCAAAAUUCUAUCCCCAUUUUUUCGCAACGCCCUACCUCUUAGCGACGACCUGACCUUCUCUUAUAUAUUCUUUCCUUUCUUUCUCUGCCUUUCUUUCCUUUUCACUUCUUUCCUCUCCUACAAAUUGAGACCUUCUAUAAUAAACGUACAAACCUGUCUAUAGUGGAAUACUCCUCAGUUAAAUAUUAUAACUUGGCAGUUGAUGUUGUAAUCUAAUUUUUGCAUUUGAAUGAUGCUUUGUGCCUGCAAGGAUAGCAGAUAGAUAUAUAGCUUUAAAUUUUGACCAAACGAUAGCCGGGACACCUAUUUUAAAAGCCUACCUUACCUAUCAAAAGGGCGAUCACCUCUCGAUAUGUCUUGAUAUAUAUAAAUGUUGUUAUUUUAUGUAUUCCAAAAUCUAUAUUCUGCUGUUGUAUUUUUACUGAUAUUGGCUGCCAUAACAUCUGUACCAUCCACUGUCCAAGUUUAAAUAAAGAAUGAAAAAAUAAAUAAAUAAAGUGUCCCUAUCUGCCUAAUUGAAAUUUUGGGAGGUAUGCAUAUAUACUACCACAGAC
Non-coding RNA from Pelobates cultripes (western spadefoot toad), 890 nucleotides. The record is from the annotation of a GenBank genome assembly. NCBI's taxonomy places the organism in Eukaryota, Metazoa, Chordata, Amphibia, Anura, Pelobatidae.